RNAcentral lists this ribosomal RNA (400 nucleotides) under uncultured bacterium. Its description in RNAcentral is "bacterial SSU rRNA". It matches the Rfam family "Bacterial small subunit ribosomal RNA", at positions 355 to 748 of the family's 1533-position model. The record is from RNAcentral.
UCGAGAAUUUUUCACAAUGGGCGCAAGCCUGAUGGAGCGACGCCGCGUGGGGGAUGAAUGGCUUCGGCCCGUAAACCCCUGUCAUUUGCGAUCAACCGUUAUUGUUUAAGAGAUGAUAACCUGAUAGUAGCGAAAGAGGAAGGGACGGCUAACUCUGUGCCAGCAGCCGCGGUAAUACAGAGGUCCCAAGCGUUGUUCGGAUUCACUGGGCGUAAAGGGUGCGUAGGUGGCGGGGUAAGUCGGAUGUGAAAUCUCCGAGCUCAACUCGGAAAUUGCAUUGGAAACUGCUCUGCUAGAGGAUUGGAGGGGGGACUGGAAUACUUGGUGUAGCAGUGAAAUGCGUAGAUAUCAAGUGGAACACCAGUGGCGAAGGCGAGUCCCUGGACAACUCCUGACACUG